Molecule: long non-coding RNA, 899 nt
Organism: Erpetoichthys calabaricus (reedfish)
Lineage: Eukaryota; Metazoa; Chordata; Cladistia; Polypteriformes; Polypteridae
Exons: 3
Source: RefSeq, a predicted model, not a curated record
CUUAAUUAAAAUUCAUUUCACGACGCUGUCCGAUUUGUUCUGCGCAUGUCCAAUGUUUUACGACACACGAGAAAAAAAGUUACCACGGGAUUUUAAUUUCUCGGUCUGCAUUAACAAAUAGAACUUUCGCCAUUCGAGUGAGAAGGAGAAAGAAGAACGCUGUAGAGAAUAGGAGCAUAUUGAAUUUUUCUCCUGGCAGAAGAAUAAUUUUCACUUCUUGAAAAAAUGAAGACUUUUCAAUUUUACAACGACUUGAAAGAAUAUCUUUUACGGGAAGAAUUUAGCAACAAUUUAACGGUCAGAGAGCGAAGUGAAAUACGACGUGUGUCCGUGAAUUUUAUGAUUAAAGUCCUUCGUCCAUGCCCUGGCUGCUCUACAGGGUGUAUCAGGACAGGAGGCAGAAGACUUAUUUCUUGGUGGCCCAGAAUACAGUAUCAGGUAAAAGUCAAGUCUAUGAAUGUUUGAAGUAAGUGUUUAAAUAUUUCUUGUUUAUUAUUUUUAUAUUUUACUUGCUUUAGUGAAGUGGAAGAAUUUAACCGAAAGAUAGGGCAGCAAUUAAAGAAGGAAGGAAUGCUGUGAUAUCUGUUGGAAUAGAAGAUGAUGCUACUGCCCAGUGCUUCCAGAAUCCUUCAUUUGAGUCUUGGGUCUGAAUCUACUGCGUCAUUGCCAAGUAUUCUGGGGUAAUGUAUCUUGUUUUGUUUACAUUUUGUUUUUCUCCAUAUUCCAAGCUCAUUUACUUGACCUUAGCUUUAAUAAACUGGAUGGCUGUCUCCUUCACAAUUGAUUUUAAAGUACUAUACUAUUCAUUACAUAAAAAGCUCUGAACAAUUUAGUCCCUUCCUGUAUUUGGUACUUUCUCUCCCCCAACACUCCUCAGUGUAAUCCUUAAUCCACAACCA